Molecule: transfer RNA, 71 nt
Filed under: Dothistroma septosporum NZE10
Lineage: Eukaryota; Fungi; Ascomycota; Dothideomycetes; Mycosphaerellales; Mycosphaerellaceae
Description: tRNA-Pro for anticodon UGG
Rfam family: tRNA
About the family: Transfer RNA (tRNA) molecules are approximately 80 nucleotides in length. Their secondary structure includes four short double-helical elements and three loops (D, anti-codon, and T loops).
Source: Rfam by way of RNAcentral
GGUUCUCUAGUUUAGUGGUAGAAUGCGUAGUUUGGGACUAUGUGGCGAGUGUUCGAUUCACUCGAGAACCC